Long non-coding RNA from Hemiscyllium ocellatum (epaulette shark), 748 nucleotides. RefSeq lists it as uncharacterized. The transcript is spliced from 5 exons. The record is from RefSeq and is a predicted model, not a curated record. Lineage: Eukaryota; Metazoa; Chordata; Chondrichthyes; Orectolobiformes; Hemiscylliidae.
AGCAGCCUGUUCCUGGCCGCCCGCUUGUCCUUCUCUCAACUCGACUCUGGGAAUAGAUCACUGCGUGUAGAUUCCCGACCCAGUUGGUGCCUAUGUGGACCAGGAUUUGGGGCUGCUCUCUCUCCCCUGCAAGGAUCCCAAAAGCAUGAUCAGAGACAUCACAAGUCCUGGCACCUGGGAGGCAACACACCAACUGACUCCCAGCUGCUGUUCAUUCUUCUGCAGCAUGAGAGAGAUCGGGAUCAGCUUCUCCUCUACCUACUUACCCAACAUCUCACGAGAUUUCGCGAGCUACUUCACCAGGGCCUGGUCGGUAAUCGAGUCCAAGGAUCCUGCAGGCUAGGGCGCGGGCCUGGCCUUGGAUGCUCUCCUCCCUUCUUCGGCAUCUCUGGACAGUGAAAACACAGUGGAAGCUCAACAUUUGUGACAAUACUGCUGCAAGCUUACGAAGAGGUAACUUGUAGUUAAUUACUCGGAUGUUCUGCUCCCAGUUUACAGGAGAAAGUGAAGACUGCAGAUACUGGAGAUCAGAGCUGAAAAUGUGUUGCUGGAAAAGUGCAGCAGGUCAGGCAGCAUCCAAGGAGCAGGAGAAGCGACAUUUCGGGCAUGAGCCCUUCUUCAGGAAUUGUUCUGUUUAUUUCAGUAUGAGACCAUGGACGCAAUGUUGAAAUUACUUGACCUGUUUCAAUAAACUUAGUGCGUUAUUGUGAAUUAUAGAACUUCCUGUACUGAUUGCAUGCUUAUUGAC